This 3527-nucleotide long non-coding RNA is filed under the name Homo sapiens (human). RNAcentral describes it as "long independently transcribed non-coding RNA 2377, transcript variant 2 (LINC02377)". Lineage: Eukaryota; Metazoa; Chordata; Mammalia; Primates; Hominidae. The record is from RNAcentral.
GCCAGAUAAGGGAAGCAGGCCUCCGAAGCCAGCAGUGGCAACCCACUUGGGUCCCUUUCAAUGCUGUGGAAGCGUUGUUCUUUCACUCUUCUCAAUAAAUCUUGCUGCUGCUCACUCUUUGGGUCUGCCCCGCUGUUAUGAGCUGUAACACUCACAGCCAGUGUCUGCAGUUUCACUCCUGAAGCCAGCAAGACCACAAACCCACAGGGCGGGACAAACAACUCCGGACAGGAGGAAUGAACAACUCUGGACGCGCCACUUCUAUGAACUUUUAUGAACUGUAACACUCACCGCAAAGGUCUGCAGCUUCACCCCUGAGGCCAGGGAGACCACGAACCCACCGGAAGGAAUGAACAACUCCAGACGCACUGCCUUUAAGAGCUGUAACACUUACCACGGAUGUCUGCAGCUUCACUCCUGAAGUCAGCGAGACCACAAACCCAACAGAAGGAAGAAACUCCCGACACAUCUGAACAUCUGAAGGAACAAACUCUGGACACACCAUCUUUAAGAACUGUAACACUCACCGUGAGGGUCAACCGCUUCAUUCUUGAAGUCAGCCAGACCAAGAACCCACCAAUUCCGAGUCUCACUUUGUUGCCUAAGCUAGAGUGCAGCGUCGUGAUCAAGGCUCACUGCAGCCUCAACAUCCUGAUCCCCAGUGUUCCUCCCACCUCAACCUCCCAAGUAGCUGGGACCACAGAUGAAUGCCAGAUGCCUCUAGUGAGCCACCUUGAAUCACUAUUCUGAAUACAUCUUGAGUAAAAAGAGAAAAUUGCUCAUGUUUCCAUGUCUAUCUGAAUCAUGUUAUUGGACCAUGAGAGCAAGCAGCUGGAUCUCAUUCUGUCCAGUGACAGGGUCUCACUCUGUCACCGAUGCUGGAGUACAGUUGCAAAAGAUCAUCGCUCACUGUAGCCUUGACCUCCUGGGCACAAGCCAUGCUCUACCGGAGCCACUGCCCCUAGUUAUGGUUCCUGUGUCACACUGAUGCAAGAGAUGGGAUACCAUGGCUUUGGGAAGCUCCACUCCUAUGGCUUGGCAGCGUACAGCCUCCCUUCUGGCUGCUUUCACAGGUUGGUGUUGAGUGCAGCUUUUCCAGGAUUUUGUGAGUAACCAGCUUUAAUUUGGAAAACCUAGACUUCUACAUACAGAUUGUUAUGUUUGGAACAGUGGCUCAUGCCUGUAAUCCCAGAACUUUGGGAGGCCCAGACGAGCGGAUCACCUAGGUCAGGAGUUGAGGCCAGCCUGGUCAACAUGGCAAAACCUCAUCUCUACUAAAAGUACAAAAAUUAUCCGGGCGUGGUUGUGGGCACCUGUAUUCUCAGGUACUUGGGAGACUGAGGCAGCAGAAUCGCUUGAACCCAGGAAGCAGAGGUUGCAGUGAGCCGAGAUCAGGCUGCUGCACUCUAGCCUGUGUGAUAGAGUGAGUGAGACUGUGUCUCAAAAAACAAAAAACAAAACAAAAAAACUUUCAAUUUAUUUUCCAGAGGUCUAUUUUUAAUUUAGUAACAAGAUUUUAAAAAAUAUAUAUAAAAUUAAAUAACAGUAGAAAGUUAGAACUAGGCCCUAUAAAAUAUAAAAUUGUCAAAAUUGGUUAGCAUGAUUGUAGCUUCAAGGAUCAUAUUGUUAAUGUGACAACUUCUGAAACCAAACAUCAUCAUGCUUGGCAUCAAGAGCUAAAGUAGUCAUGAGUUAAUGGAGAAGAACAACUAAGGAAUUGGCUGGUGAAGUAAAGUUUAUGCUAAAUUUAAUUGAAAUGAAAUAACAAAGCAGUUUGAAACGAACAUUCCAUUGAUUAUUUUUAAAAUUUUAUUUAUUAACAAAAUAGCUUAUACUAACUGCCCACUCUCUAUCCCAAUAGUCACAGCAAUAACAUAUAGUUAACAUUUGUAAUUAAAUAUUUCAUUUCAUACAAAUAGUAUUUUAAAAUUCAAGUGUUGAUUUUUAAGCCUUUGAAUGUUUGGCUGUUUAAAAUUUAAGUGCAUAUAAAAAAUUGUAGAAAAGGGUCAUUAUUAAUAAAAUAUUCAAAAUAUGGUAAAUUAUGCAUGAUGAUUUAAUAUAUGCAAAUUGACAAGUGAUGUGAAUAGUACAUUUGAAUAGAGAAAAUAUGUACAUAAAUGAAUGGUAUUUCAGAAUCUAAGCAAAUUGAUGACUCCAUUAUGUACUUGUCCCCAAUGUAAAUGAAAUAUUAAUUAGAAAACUUUUUUUUCACUAAAGGGCUGAACAUAAAGUGUGAUGGCAAAUUGGUGUGUUCUUGUAUUUCUUGUCUUUAAGAAUUCUUUUCAAUAUAUUUUCACUUAAUGUUUUAGCAACACUUUUCAUCAUCCUUUUACACUUAUAGCUGGACUAUGCUUAGUGAUAGAAAAUAGUUAUAUAAUGGGAUUAUACUUGGCCAUAUGAAUUUGACGGUAUGAGUUAAUCUAUGUUUCAUCUUACUUGUGUCUACUUGUAAGUCAUUGAUGCUAAUGUUAUUAGUAAUUUUUAUUGGGUAGAAAUAUUUUCUAUAUGACAUUUUUGAGAAAAAGAAGUCAAUAAAUCCCAUUUGAUAUGCAACAGAAAUAAAGAUCUCUUAUUUCAAUUUUAAAAUGCUUUAUAACUUACAUUGCUUUGUUUUAUGCAGUAUUUGUUUUGAUCAGAUGCAAAAUGAGCCAGUAAUGGCAUCUAACCACAAGUUUGAUAUAUUUUUUUAAAGAAAAAUUUCCAAAAUACUAUAACUGAGCAAUAGGCUAAUACUUCAUAAAUUAAAAUAUUUAAAUAUUCAAUCUUUCUGAGUGGAUAUUUGUUGCAUAUCUGAUAACUUGGCCUAAUUCUGUAAUUGGGAUGAGAACUACCCAAUUUUAUUGGUAACCUCUUUUCUGCUCUGCAACUUUGGAAAUAAUAUGGAGGACUUCAAAUUCAUUUGAGACAAAAAUAUUAAAAAUGUAACCCCUGAUUAGGAUUUCAGUUCCAAAGCUCUCCUUGGAGGGAUAUAGAGCUGGAGACAAUCAAUCACAUUUAUUUUUCAUCUCCUUAAUAUUGAUAUAUAAAAGUCAGGUUAAAAUUAGUAUCAAAAUGGGAAGCCUGCAUUGUAAACUGGCUGGAAUAAUACACUCUGCAAUAUGAAGGAAAAAGGAAAAAUUUAGUUGAUUCAUUUACUUAACUAUAAUUUUUUAAAGAAUUUUAAGUUUCUAAUAAAUUUAACUAUAAAUUUUUAAUUUUCUAUCUUUCAUUUAGUACCAUCUAUAUAAACUUUUCCAGGCUACUUCUCUGAAUCACCUGGCAAAAUCUUAUAAUUUACCACCUAACUGAAUAAAACACACACACACAAAAUAAUCUAUUUUUAAUAAUAAACAUCAUUUAUAAUUACGUUGUUGAGAUUGAGAGUAAUCAUCAGGUGUGGAAAAACUGAGGAAAUUUUAACAAUUUAAAAUGUAAUAAUCUUUUUUGUAUUAUGUGUGUUUUAUACUCAGAAGUGCAUAUGUUUUAUAAAAUUAUGUGAAUUUAUAAGUGUGGUCAAUAUUAAUAUUAAAUUGUAUCUUUUAAUAGUA